CUCCAGAUGUUGCUGAACUACAACUCCCAUGAUUCUAUCAAUGAAAUAGAUAGGCUGAGAAUCAUGGGAGUUGUAGUUCAGCAACAUCUGGAG
This 93-nucleotide microRNA precursor is filed under the name Pelobates cultripes (western spadefoot toad). Lineage: Eukaryota; Metazoa; Chordata; Amphibia; Anura; Pelobatidae. The record is from RNAcentral.